RNAcentral lists this ribosomal RNA (292 nucleotides) under uncultured bacterium. RNAcentral's name for it is "partial 16S ribosomal RNA". It matches the Rfam family "Bacterial small subunit ribosomal RNA", at positions 505 to 796 of the family's 1533-position model. The record is from RNAcentral.
GUGUCAGCCGCCGCGGUAAGACAGAGGGCGCGAGCGUUGUUCGGAAUUACUGGGCGUAAAGCGCGCGUAGGCGGAUCGACGCGUCUGGAGUGAAAUCCCGCCGCUCAACGGCGGGGCUGCUUUGGAAACGGUCGGUCUAGGGAGCGGUAGAGGCCGGUAGAAUUCCCGGUGUAGCGGUGGAAUGCGUAGAGAUCGGGAAGAAUACCCGUGGCGAAGGCGGCCGGCUGGGCCGUCUCCGACGCUAAUGCGCGAAAGCGUGGGGAGCAAACAGGAUUAGAAACCCCAGUAGUCC